AUACGGAGGGUGCAAGCGUUACUCGGAAUCACUGGGCGUAAAGCGCGCGCAGGCGGCUAUUUAAGUUGGAUGUGAAAGCCUAUGGCUCAACCAUAGAACUGCAUCCAAAACUAUUUAGCUAGAGUGUGGGAGAGGAAGAUGGAAUUAGUUGUGUAGGGGUAAAAUCCGUAGAGAUAACUAGGAAUACCAAAAGCGAAGGCAAUCUUCUGGAACACUUCUGACGCUGAGGCGCGAAAGCGUGGGGAGCAAACAGGAUUAGAAACCCUUGUAGUCC
This 274-nucleotide ribosomal RNA is filed under the name uncultured bacterium. RNAcentral describes it as "partial 16S ribosomal RNA". It matches the Rfam family "Bacterial small subunit ribosomal RNA", at positions 523 to 796 of the family's 1533-position model. The record is from RNAcentral.